This 253-nucleotide ribosomal RNA is filed under the name uncultured bacterium. RNAcentral describes it as "partial 16S ribosomal RNA". It matches the Rfam family "Bacterial small subunit ribosomal RNA", at positions 524 to 776 of the family's 1533-position model. The record is from RNAcentral.
CACGUAGGAGGCGAGCGUUGUCCGGAAUCAUUGGGCGUAAAGAGCGCGCAGGCGGCUUGGCAAGUCGGGUGUGAAAUCCCGGGGCUCAACCCCGGGACUGCAUUCGAUACUGUCAGGCUAGAGGUAGGUGGGGGAGAUCGGAAUUCCUGGUGUAGCGGUGAAAUGCGCAGAUAUCAGGAGGAACACCGGUGGCGAAGGCGGAACUCUGGGCCUUACCUGACGCUCAGGCGCGAAAGCUAGGGGAGCGAACAGG